RNAcentral lists this ribosomal RNA (1058 nucleotides) under Brevibacillus brevis. RNAcentral's name for it is "partial 23S ribosomal RNA". It matches the Rfam family "Bacterial large subunit ribosomal RNA", at positions 246 to 1306 of the family's 2925-position model. Lineage: Bacteria; Bacillati; Bacillota; Bacilli; Caryophanales; Paenibacillaceae. The record is from RNAcentral.
GUGGCGAGCGAACGCGGAAGAGCCUAAACCGUCGGGUUUACCCGGCGGGGUUGUGGGGCGUCUCACACGGAGUUACAAAAGACGCGCGUAGGUGAACAGCUUGGGAAAGCUGACCAUAGAGCGUGAUAGUCGCGUAACCUAAACGCGCGUCUCUCCGAGACCAACCCCGAGUAGCGCGGGACACGUGAAAUCCCGUGUGAAUCUGGCAGGACCAUCUGCUAAGGCUAAAUACUACCUAGCGACCGAUAGUGAACCAGUACCGUGAGGGAAAGGUGAAAAGCACCCCGGGAGGGGAGUGAAAUAGUACCUGAAACCGUGUGCUUACAAAUAGUCGGAGCCCGUUAAAAGGGUGACGGCGUGCCUUUUGUAGAAUGAACCGGCGAGUUACGGUAGCGUGCGAGGUUAAGUUGAAGAGACGGAGCCGCAGCGAAAGCGAGUCUGAAUAGGGCGAUAGUACGCUGCCGUAGACCCGAAACCGUGUGAUCUAGCCAUGUCCAGGGUGAAGGUAGGGUAACACCUACUGGAGGCCCGAACCCACGCACGUUGAAAAGUGCGGGGAUGAGGUGUGGCUAGCGGUGAAAUUCCAAUCGAACUCGGAGAUAGCUGGUUCUCCCCGAAAUAGCUUUAGGGCUAGCCUCGGAAUUUAGAGUCUUGGAGGUAGAGCACUGAUUGGGCUAGGGGCCCUCAUCGGGUUACCGAACUCAGUCAAACUCCGAAUGCCAAUGACUUAUGUCCGGGAGUCAGACGGUGAGUGCUAAGAUCCAUCGUCAAAAGGGAAACAGCCCAGACCAUCAGCUAAGGUCCCCAAGUAUACGUUAAGUGGGAAACGAUGUGGAGUUGCCCAGACAACCAGGAUGUUGGCUUAGAAGCAGCCACCAUUUAAAGAGUGCGUAAUAGCUCACUGGUCGAGUGACUCUGCGCGGAAAAUGUAACGGGGCUAAACGUAUCACCGAAGCUAUGGCAGUCCUUACGGACUGGGUAGGGGAGCGUUCCAAGCAGCAGUGAAGCCGUACUGGAAAGAGCGGUGGAGCGCUUGGAAGUGAGAAUGCCGGUGUAAG